GACGAACGCUGGCGGCGUGGAUUAGGCAUGCAAGUCGAACGGUAUCAUCCUUUCGGGGGUGAGAGAGUGGCGAACUGGUGAGUAACACGUAGGUUAUCUACCCUCAAGACGGGGACAACCCAGGGAAACUUGGGCUAAUACCGGAUGUGAGCAACUUUUAGUUGUUUGAAAGGUGGCGUAAGCUGUCGCUUGGGGAUGAGCCUGCGUCCUAUUAGUUAGUUGGUGAGGUAACGGCUCACCUAGGCAAUGAUAGGUAGGCGGCCUUAACGGGUGGUCGCCCACACUGGGAUUGAGAUACGGCCCAGACUCCUACGGGAGGCAGCAGUCGAGAAUAGUCUACAAUGGUCGGAAGACUGAUAGUGCGACGCCGCGUGAACGAUGAAUCCCUUCGGGUGUAAAGUUCUUUUAUAUGUGAGCAGUGCUUCUUAUAUUAAACAGUAUGGGGAGAGAGAUAUUAGCAUAUGAAUAAGCAACGGCUAACUCCGUGCCAGCAGCCGCGGUAAACUCGU
RNAcentral lists this ribosomal RNA (509 nucleotides) under uncultured bacterium. RNAcentral describes it as "bacterial SSU rRNA". It matches the Rfam family "Bacterial small subunit ribosomal RNA", at positions 28 to 528 of the family's 1533-position model. The record is from RNAcentral.